UACAGAGGGGCAAGCGUUGUUCGGAAUUACUGGCGUAAAGGGCGCGUAGGCGGCCUCUUAAGUCGAACGUGAAAUCCCGGCUCAACCGGAACUGCGUCCGAUACUGGGGGCUUGAAUCCGGAGAGGGACGUGGAAUUCCAGGUGGUAGCGGUGAAAUGCGUAGAGUAUCAGGAGGAACACCUGUGGUGUAGACGGCUUCUGGACCAUAGCUGACGCUGAGACACGAAAGCGUGGGUAGCAAACAG
Molecule: ribosomal RNA, 245 nt
Filed under: uncultured bacterium
Lineage: Bacteria
Description: partial 16S ribosomal RNA
Rfam family: Bacterial small subunit ribosomal RNA
Source: RNAcentral